This is a long non-coding RNA of Nannospalax galili (Upper Galilee mountains blind mole rat), 1840 nucleotides long. RefSeq lists it as uncharacterized. Lineage: Eukaryota; Metazoa; Chordata; Mammalia; Rodentia; Spalacidae. The record is from RefSeq and is a predicted model, not a curated record. The transcript has 3 exons.
CCAAAGAGAGGAGUGCAUGAGGACACAGGAAGGAGCCGGCCAUCUGUAAGCCGAGGAGAGGAGCCGCACAAAACACAGACCCCUUGAUAUCUGGAUCUGGGACUUUCAGCCUCCAAAACUGGGCUAUUUAUGCUGCCUGCCUCAUGGAGCCUUUGUGAAGACUGAAGGCCACAACCAUCAUUAUCAUCAUCAUCACUCUAAUUGUCAAAUUAGAGGCCUGGAAUCUUGGUAAUGCCUUAUAAGAAGCUGCUUUGGCACCAUGCAGAGAAUGCAUGAAGGUUGUGGCGGUUCCCUGGAGUGCAGAGGAGCAGUUCUCAAAGACUUACCAAGGAGGAGGUGGUGCCCAGUUCCAGAGGAUGACAGAGAGAUUACAGGACAAGGCAUGGCCCUACCCUUUGUGCCUCUUCUCUUCUUCUUGAAACAGUAACAACUUAAAUUAGAACGUACCACAUAAUAAAAGAAAGUGUGUAACUUGUGCACACAAAAUAAUUUCAUGUGCUACCAAAGAGGGAUAUAUGGACAUGGUAUUAUAUGACAUUAUAUGAUAUGAUUCCCCUAUUCUAUCACAUAAAAAGAUUCUCAACUUCAUUAAUCAUCAGAAUAAUACCCCAAAUGAGAUACAACUAUGUAUCCAUCAGGAAAGACUGAAAAUUCCAACUGGUGGCAGGGACAGUUACCUUUAUGUAUUGCUGACAAGAGCAUAAAUUCAUACAUUUACUUGGCAAAACUUUUUGACUAUACCUGUACAUUGAACAUAAGCAUUCUCUAUGACCCAUAGAAAUUCUAUAUCCAGGUGUACAUCCAUAUUAGUUAUUUUUCUUACUGCUGUAAUCAAAUACCUGAAAAGAAGUGACUUGGAGAGGAAAGGUUUAUUUUAGCUUGCAGUUUGAAGGGAAACAGUUCAUCAUGGUGAGGAAGGCAUGGUGGCAGGAGUGUGUUGGCUGGUCUCAUUGCUUCCACAGGAAUGCAGCAGAGAGAUAACAGGAAGUAGGGCCUAAGUGUAAAAUCUCAAAGCCUGCUCACAGUAACAGUGGCCCACUUCCUCCAGGAAAUAUCUACCUCCCAAGGGCUUCACAAUCUUCCAAAACAGCUUCACCCUCUGGGGGCAAGUUUCAAACACAUGAACCUCUGGGGACAUUUCACAUUAAAAUCACAAAAUCCAAAAGAAAUAUGUACACAUGUUCAACAAAUGAUGUGUUCCAUGUUCUAGGAAGUUUGUGAAGUUGCUGCUUUUUAAAAAAAUUUGGUGUGUGUGUGUGUGUGUGUGUGUGUGUGUAUGCUUUUAAGUGCCUAUGGAGGCCUCAAGAGGGUGUCAGAUCCCCUGGAGCUAGAGUUCCAUGUGGUUGCCAGCUGCCCAACAUGGGUGCUAGGUACCAAACUCUGGUCCUCUGCAAAAGCAACUAGCACUCUUAACUGCUGAGCUCUCUCUCCAACCCCAGUUGGUCCUUAAUAGUGAAAAACUAGAAAUGAGCCGUGUGCCCAUCAACAAUAGAAUGGCUGAGUAAAUUGUGGUGUAUCCAGACCAUGAAACACUACUCACUGAUGCAAAGGAAUGAUUUACAGCUUCAUGCUAGAAUAGGAGUUAACCUCUCAUUCAUAAUGCUGAGCAGAGAAGGACAAAAAAGCUAAAAACCAAGACUGCACACUGUGUAUUUUUACUUACAUAAAACUGCAAAACAGGCAAAAUUCAUCCAGGUUCAUCAAAAUACAGGUAAUGUUUACCCUUGUGAACAACGGUGGUAAAACCUGGAAGGUGCAUCAUGGAGGGUUCUACACGAUGCUAAUUAACGUUCUCUUUCUUGGUCUGGGUGCCUGUUAAAUGUUAUGAUCACUUUGUAAA